This 377-nucleotide unclassified non-coding RNA is filed under the name uncultured fungus. RNAcentral describes it as "sequence contains ITS1". The stretch from base 1 to 107 matches the Rfam family "5.8S ribosomal RNA", at positions 50 to 154 of the family's 154-position model. The record is from RNAcentral. Lineage: Eukaryota; Fungi.
GAAAUGCGAUACUUGGUGUGAAUUGCAGAAUCCCGUGAACCAUCGAGUCUUUGAACGCAAGUUGCGCCCGAAACCUUCUGGUCGAGGGCACUUCUGCUUGGGCGUCACGCAACGCGUCUCCCCCAAACCAUCCCAUCUUGUGUGGGAAGGGGGAGGAGGAUGGUUUCCUGUGCCUCACCUGGCAUGGCUGGUCUAAAAUAGGAGCCUCGGAGUUAUGCACUACUGCAGCAAUUGGUGGUGGACAAGGCGUAUGCCUCGAAUGCAAUCUUGUGUCGUGUAGUGCAUAGCAAUUGUGGGCUCGUCGGACCCUUAGUUAUUCCCAUUGGGAAACAAACCUUCGCGACCCCAAGUCAGGCGGGGCUACCCGCUGACUUUAA